GGGAGGUGAACUGUUUAUCAAAUAUUUUCGCAAAGAUUGAUCAAGAAUGAAGCUUUAACACAAUUCACAGAUAAAGCAAUCAAGGAAAGCAAUCAAAUAAUGAUUAAGAAACUGUUUGCAGAAUUUCAAUCGGUUUGGUUGUUUAUAGCAGCAACAAAAGCAGAAUUAAAACAAACAGUUAUAAGGAGUGAGAGAGAGAGAUUUACACAACCAAUUUUAUACUGGUUCACUCAACCUUUAGCAACAUCCAGUUCCCAGAACAACCACUGGGUUCCAGUAGUAACCACUCACAGAUUACAACAACACAACCACAAAGAGGUGACCUUGAAAACCACAAGACCCACUCACCCUCUUUGCAACCACACACCUCACGUCAAAACACCCUAUGACUUACAAGAUUUCACACACAUUUACAAGUUUAUAAAAGUACAAUCACAAGAAUAAUGAAAGGAAUAGAAACCACAUGAGAUUACAGAAAUCAGGAAGCUCUUAUGAUCAAACCUUGUACCAAUGCACAGCUAAAUAGCGAUCUUGCAAAACUUCUUUCAAAUCAAUCUCAAUCUCACUUUGUUUGAUAUAAAACUUGUGUUUUUUGUUUUGAAAGAAAAACUAUAUUUAUAGCACACUAAACUAGCCAUUCUAGGCAGCAUUUAUUGCCAAAAUAGUUUUGAUUCACAUCCAAAACAGAUUAACAAGUUUUUUAAAGAGUUGUUAUGAAGUGUUACAAUCAAUCGGUUGAAAAGUCGUUUUAACCGGUUGAAUUGGUUAGGAAAUUACAUAACCAAGUCAAAAAUAGUUUAAAAACCUUCAAACAAGCCAAAUGACAAACAACCGAUUAUUUCAAUAAUUCAACCGAUUGUUUUUCUCUUUGCUUAGAAAAAAACUUUUCCUUAACAAAACAGAUUGAUCAAGCUUGUGCAAGGGACUAGGAAAGAUCUUACAAAGAUUCUAAACACCCUAGACUAAACCCAAAAUAAAGAGCAGCACAGCUUCAAGCUUCAUCAUGGAUUUGAAACAUCAAAGCUCCCAUGUUCAACAAUCUCCCCAUAUUUGAUGGAGACAAAUUCUUGGGAUGCUCUUUGGAAUGUUCUUACUUAGAAUCUGUACAACCUGCAUUCAUAAGCAAAGAGAGACAUAUAGGAUAAUCUAUUCCAAUCAAACAAGUACCACAAACCAAUUCCCACUAGGUGAUUUUCAGAGAGGAAAAUCAACCAAAUCAAUGUGAGAAACCAGUCAAACAUACAAAGGUGCAACACAGAUAAACAAUUGGUUAUUUCGCAAUAAUAACCGGUUGAAAUUUUGUAUCAGAGUUGUAUCAGUUUUAAAAUUUCAAUCAUGAACCAGUUAUAGCAAUGUUCAAAAGCAUUAAUAGUGCAGAUAAUAAGAACAUUACAUAUCCCAACACUUCUCCCCCUAUUUGUCUUCACAAAUAGACAAAAGGAAGGAUAAAAAAUAGUAUAAAAAAAACGAAAUUGUUCAAAAACUUAAACCAACAAUUAAAAAGAAGGAUUGUUCUUUCUUUCAAACUGUAACUCUAGAAGCUGAUUCUGAACCUCUUCUAUUUUUUCAUCCAGGUUUGAAAAACGUGAAUCCAUAUGAUUGAACCUUGACUCACAAAUCAUGAAGAUUCCUUUGAUUUUCAGCAAAUGCGUCCAUGCGGUUGAUCAUUAACCUUUCAAAAGGAGACAUUAAAGUCAACCUUUCUCCCAUGUAACCAUCACUAGGACCAGCCUCUUGAGUCUCAGUAGCAGGUUCCUCUUGAGUUGUUGCAUCUUCAAGUUCAUCACCAACAUUGGUUCCACUAGGGCCAGCUUGGUCACCAUCUUUGCUAACCCAUCUCCCACCUAUUUUAGUAAAUCCCAUUUUGUUUAGGGAUCCACUGUUAAUCUCACUUGAGGGCUUGAUAAUUUUAGCCAACUCCUCUUUAAUAUCCACUUCAAAAUAGUGUAGAAAUUUAGAGAUUAAAAUUGCAUAGGGAUAGUGGAAGUCACUUAACCUUAUGGAUUUUUGCAUAUGGUCCUUGAUGGUGUGGAUCCAAUUGAUCUUCACUUUAUUCAUAAUGCAGUAGAUCAGCAACAGGUCUUCCUCAGAGACAGUGAAGUGAUUGCUCUCCCUUGGUGUGAUGAUCCAUGACACAAUGAAAGUUAUGAGCCUUUCAUCAAGUUUUAGCCUUCUAACUGAAAAAUUUCUUAUUUUGGAGAGGGGAUUCUUGAGACAAUUCUUGUAGAAUUGCAUUUUUUUGAAUUCUUCAACUACCCCUAUAUUCCCUCUGUUGAUUCAUACCCCAGAGAACUUCAAUCCAGUCACAACAGUCCAUGCAUCAUUGGUGAUAACCAUGUCUACACCCUUAACAUUAGAGACAAGUUAGUCACCAUUGAAUUAAAGGUUAGUAUAAAAUACCUUCACCAAGUCUGGAUAAAUGUUUCCAGUGAGCUCAAAAAAUCUCUUCAAUCUUUUCUCCUUGAGGAGGCUUCUCACAACAGUCAAAUUUUGUUGCUUCAUCCAAGUGAAGGAGACAAGCUUGGGUAUGCUGACAAUUUUCCUACUUGUUUCAUGUAGGUAUUUGUUGAUGAGUUCAGAUUCUCCUGAGAACCAUCCUUCCAGCUUCCCACCACUCCUUAAAGCUCUUGUUUUCAUCCUUUUAGAAGAUGGAGGAGUUGUAGCCAUAACUCAAAUCAAAGAAGAACUUAGCACACUACAUAGAAAACUUAGAGCAGAGGAAAAAAUAAGAACAACAGAUUGUUUGUGUGAAAACAGCAGCUAAUUGCAUCACAUAUAUAGCAUAAACCUUUGGUCAAAGUUGGUAUUAUGUGUGUUGUUUUCAAAAAAGAAAAAAGAAUCAAAUCUGAACUAUAAAGCAGUUUGUGUCAGUCAUAACAGAAAGUACAGAAAAUCACAUGUUGAUUUGACCAAACUUUAAAAGCAGUUUUAAUUUCCAAGAUUAGGAGGAAUCUGAUUCAUAAAGAACAUUUAUUGCAGAGAUAUUUUGUAUUCAAAGAUGUAAUUAAGACAUUGUUGACCACAAACAUGACUGAGUUGAAUAGAAUAACAAAUCAGAGUUCAAAAAUUAAAAACAAAUUUUCCCAGUGCUGACAGAGUGAAAACAAUCGAUUGUUUCGAAGAAACAAUCGGUUGAAUUUCUGCACUAAUGAAAAAAUUUGAGAAAAUCAAAUUUUUAACAGCCAUGCUAUAUACAAGAAUCCAGGUUUAUAAGGCACACAAAUUUGUAUAAAAAAACAGAAGGAAUACAAGCUAAUCAUAAUCCAAGUAUAGGCAUAGAGAAAAAUUCAGGAUUGGAUUUAGAAACUAAUGUUCAAGAAUGAGAAGAACAAAUAAUUAUCCUUCAUAUUUAAGGUACACAAAUGUAAGAAAUACAUAGUAUCAGGACAAGACAUUGUCUUUCCAAUAAAUCUUCUUGAAAUCCUGAUCUUUACUAAUCCUUCAAAUGGAAUCAAGAAUCUGCAAAACAAAGCUUGUUAAAUCACAAGACUUGAUCCCUUAAAGAACUUGGAACCUUUUGUGUUAGACUUAUCCUUGGAACCAUCAAAACAUCUUGGAAUCCAUUUAAAGAUCCCUUUAGGAACAAAAGACUUUCUAAACUUGCAGAACCUAACUGAAUGACCUUUCUUCAUGCAAUUGAAAUUUGUAACAACCGGUUGAAUCGACCUUUUAACCGAUUGUUUUUCUGGUACAGAUGAAAAAGGUUUUGAAAUUCCAUUUCCUUUGCUUUGUGGAUAAAAACCUGAACCUGAUUUUCCAAAAACACAAUUUUGAGAUGCAAGAACAUCUUCAAAGUUGGAUUUUCCAAUUGUAAGUUUAUCCAUGGUUUUCAAAAGAUAAUGAAAUUUUUUGUUGAUUCUAUAGAUAGAAAAUCUGAGAAGUCAUCACAAACAGUUCUUUCAUACCUUUGUUUGAAACUAAUACCAUUUUCUCUGAAAGUGAAAAAGAUCAUAUUGACAGUGUUGCUAAAAAUAUCAUUGUUUCUGCUCUUGAUUCUAAUGAGUUUCUUAGAGUUUCAAAGUGUGUUUCAGCUAAAGAUAUGUGGGACACUCUUGAAAGAAUUCAUAAAGAUUCAAGAAAUGCUUGGCUGGACAAUGACAAGUUCUCUUCUGGAUCAUCCUCUGCAGCUUCCAAAAUAAACUUAUGUCUGAUGGCAAAAGAAGAUUCUGCAUCAAACAGUGUAAGUACAUCCUCAUCUGCCAAAUGUGAUAGUUAUUAUCAACUUCUUGAGGCUUUUAAAGAGGCUCAUGAAGAAGCUCAUAAAUUAACCUUUUCAAAUAAUUCGUUGAAAAGUAAAAACAACUGGUUGAAAAUUAUAGUCAAGGUCUUGGAAAAAGAUUUGAACAACUCAAAAACUGAUUUUGAAAACAUAGAAAUGAUUUAUCAAAAUUCUUCUUGCAAGUGUGAAUCUAGUUUUUGCAAAAAUUGUGAAUCUCUUCAAAAGAAUGGUUUUAUCUUGUGAAAAUUGUGAAUAGAAUUUCAAAAGGAAAAUCCAACUUUGAAAAUGUCUUAGCAUCUCAAAAUUGCGUUUUUGAAAAAUUUGGUAUGGGUUUUAACCCACAAAGCAAGAACAGUGGCAUUUCAAAACCUUUUUCAACCAUUACUGAAAAUUAACCGAUUGAAAAGUCGAAACAACCUGUUCUUUCUUGUUUCUAUUGUGUGAGAAAUGGUCAUUCUGUUAGGUUUUGCAAAAUUCGCAAAUUUUCUGUUCCUAAAGGUAUUCUAAAGUGGGUUCCCAAGAAUCGUAAGGUUCCUAACAAUCGAAUUAACAUCUAUGGACCCAAAUUUAUUAGGGGACCAGAUCUUGCCACCUGAUUUUAAUUUUUGUAGAAUUUCUUGAUAAAAAAACCAGCUCUUAUGGUACUUGGACAAUGGCUGCUCCAAGCACAUGACUGGAGAUGUAUCAAAGUUUGUCAACAUCAUUCUUAAGCAAGAAGGCCAAGUGACCUAUGAGGAUAAUAAUAAAGGAAAGAUCCUUUGAAAAUGUACUAUUGGUAAUGAAAACAGUUUUCUGAUUCAUGAUGUCUUCUAUGUGGAAGGUCUCAAGCACAACCUUCUCAGCAUAAGUCAGCUUUGUGAUAGAGGAUAUCAAGUCACAUUCAAAACUAACUCCUGUGAGAUUCGUCUACCAAAUUCAAAUGAAGUGUUGUUGGUUGGUAAAAGAAUUAAUAAUGUCUAUCUAUUUGAUAUUUCAAAUUCCACAUCCAUUGGUUGUCUUUUGACCAAACAUGAAGAAUCAUGGUUUUGGCACAGAAGAAUUGCACACAUUCAUAUGCAUCAUCUGAACAAAUUAAUUUCAAAUGAUCUUGUUAUUGGCUUACCCAAACUCAAGUUUGAGAAGGAUCAUGUGUGUGAAGCUUGUCAAAAGGGGAAACAAACAAAAUGGUCUUUUAAACUAAAAAACAUAGUUUCCACCUCAAAACCCCUUGAGCUUCUACAUAUGGAUCUGUUUGGUCCUUCAAGAACUAUGAGCCUUAGAGGGAAUUAUUAUGCUCUUUUUGUGGUUGAUGAAUUUUCCAGGUUUACAUGGACAAUGUUUCUCCAUUCAAAAAGUGAGGCCUACAUCUGCAUUUAAAAAGCUAGCCAAAAGGCUACAAAACUCCUACUGCAGCAACAUUGGUUCCAUUAGGAGUGAUCACGGUGGAGAAUUCCAAAAUGAGAAGUUUAGCGCCUUCUGUGAUAAGUUGGGCAUCUUUCACAAUUUAUUUGCACCAAGGACACCUCAUCAGAAUCGUGUAGUGGAAAGGAAGAACAGAUUGCUUGAGGAGCUGGCAAGAAAAAUCUUGAAUAAAUCCUCCUUACCAAAUACUUUUGGACAGAUGUAGUCAGUACAACAUGUUAUGUAAUAAAUCGUGUUCUUAUCAGGCCCAUUCUGAAAAAGACUCCAUAUGAAUUAAUCAAUGUAAGGAAGCCUCACAUAAGACAUCUAAAGUUAUUUGGGUGUAAAUGCUAAAUUCUAAACAAUUGUAAAGACAAUCUUGGUAAGUUUGACGAAAAAGUCGAUAAUGGUAUUUUUCUUGGUUACUCCUUAACUAGUCAUGCCUAUAGAGUUUAUAAUAAGAGACUUAUGACUGUAGAGGAAUAUGUACAUACUGUGAAACAACCGAUUGAAAAUUUGCAACAGUGUGAACUUCCUAAAGAGUGAAGGAUUCCCAGAGAUCUCUCAGUACAAAACAUCAUUGGGCAAAUUAAUAAAGGUGUAUCUACAAGGAGGACGGUAUCAAACUUCUGCAACCAUAUGGCUUUUGUCUCCAAAGUUGAACCCAAGUCAAUCAAUGAAGCACUCAAGGAUGAACAUUGGAUAGUUGUUAUGCAUGAGGAACUUAACCAAUUUGUAAGGAAUGAUGUGUAGCUUCUAGUUUUAGAACAAAUCAGAUGAAUCUCAUAGAAACAAAGUGGGUAUUAAGAAACAAGUUAGAUGAUAUAGGGGUAAUCACAAGCAACAAGGCAAGACUUGUUACAAAAGGGUACAAUCAAGAAGAAGGAAUAGACUAUGACGAAACUUUCGCACCAGUGGCAAGAUUAGAGGUUGUGAGAUUAUUGCUAGCCUUUGCCUGUAUGAAUGGUUUCAAGUUGUUCCAAAUGGACGUGAAAAUUGCUUUCCUAAAUGGGAUUGUAAAUGAGGAAAUCUUUGUUUCACAACCAACCGGGUUUGAAGACUAUCUAUAUUCCAAUCAUGUAUACAAAUUCAAAAAAAUCUUUGUAUGGUCUCAAGGAAGCACCUAGACAGUGGUAUGAAAGGUAAAGUAACUUUCUUUUAUCUCACAACUAUGAAAGAGGGAAGAUUGACAAAACCAUUUUUAUUAAAAAGUCAAAUUAUGUUGUUAUCUUAAUACAAAUAUAUGUUAAUGAUAUUAUUUUUGGAUCAACUAAUGAUAGACUGUGUGAAGAAUUUGUGACAGCAUUGCAGGGGGAGUUCGAGAUGUCGAUGAUGGGAGAAAUCUCCUUCUUUAUUGAAUUGCAGGUCAAGCAAUCCAAAGAGGGCAUCUUCUUAAAUCAAUCAAAGUAUUGCAAGGAGAUACUCAAACGAUUUGAAAUGCAGAAUUGCAAAGAAGCCUCAACACCAAUGCCUACCGACUGCUAUAUGGAUGCUGAUGCAAGUGAAGUUAUUGUUGAUCAAACAACAUAUAGGGGGUUAAUAGGAUCCUUGCUUUAUCUUACAGCUAGCAGCCCAGACAUAAUGUUUGUUUUGUGCCUUUGUGGUAGAUUCCAGUCAAAUCCAAAGGAAUCACAUCUCAAAGUUGUUAAAAGGAUUCUAAAAUAUUUGAAGGGAACAUCUACUUUUGGACUAUGGUAUUCCUCUCAUUCCCCUAUACAACUUGUUGGGUAUUCUGAUUCUAAAUUUGUAGGUUGCAAGCUAGAUAGGAAGAGUACUAGUGGAACCUGUCAUCUUCUUGGCUCAAGUUUGACAUCAUGGCAGAGCAAGAAGAAAGCCUGUGUAGCCCUCUCCACUGUUGAAGCAGAGUACAUAGCUGAAAUGAGCUGUUGUGCUCAAAUUUUGUGGAUCAAGCAAUAGUUUGAGGACUUUGGGUUGAAAGUAAACAAGGUUCCUUUAUUUUAUGACAAUACAAGUGCAAUCAACCUAACAAAAAAUCAAGUUCAGCACUCAAGAACCAAACACAUUGAGAUUCGGCAUCACUUUAUUCAUGAUCAUGUAAAUAAUGGUGAUUGUGAGGUACAAUUCAUUGCCACUGAAAGACGGCUUGCAGACAUCUUCACCAAACCUCUAUCCGAGGACAGGUUUUUCUCAUUAAGGAAUGAGUUAGGAAUCAUUGAUUCACAAGAUUUACCUUAAUCUGUGCUAUUUUUAUCCCUUCUUACACUCUAUUUGUGAAGACAAAUAAGGGAAAAAGUGGCUUUGAGGUUGUAAUCAUCUAAUUCUGCACUUAUUAUGUUGAUAACUGCUAAACUUUGAUGAUUUUAACUAGUUAAUCCUGUUUUUUAACAGGUUGUUUUUCUGCUGCUACAUGCAUGUGUGUGUAAUUGGUUUUCACACUAAUUUGGUUUAUGUUCCUCUUUGAAAAUCACCCAGUGGAAACUGGUUAUGUGAUACUUGAUAUAUCUGGAAUAGAUUAUCUCUUGUAUUUGCAUCUUUUUGUGAUUGCAAGUUGUGCCAGAUUCUAAACAGAACUUCCAAAGCAACCCCGGGAUUUUUCUUCAAAUAGGGGGAGAAUGUUGAAAAUGAAGUUUUGAUGCCUCCAAAUCCAUGAAAACAACUUGAAGAUCUUGUUGAUGUGUUCAGGGUUUCAUUCUAGGUUGUUUAGAAUUUGCUAGAUCCACUCCUAAUCAAUUCACAACUGAAUCAAUCUGGUUUUUUAAAAAUAAAAAUGUUUUGCAAAGCUAAGUGAAAAACAACCUGUUGAUUUCUCGUUUUAAUUGGUUGUUUUUGCUCAGCCUGUGAAAGGUCUUUUGAAAUGUUUUGAUUUUGGUUGACUUAACUGUCAAACCAAUUCAACUAGUUAAAUCGACAUUUCAACCGGUUGAUUUUUGAAUUUCUUAACAGCUUUUCAUCAAAUUCUUAAAUUUGUUUUCAGUUAUUUACAAACUGUUUUGGCUCAUGAUUAACUUAUUAAAAUGACUAGUUUGAUGAGCUAUAAAACUAUGAUUACCCUUCUUAUUUGAAAAACACACAACAAGUGAUUCAUAAAAGAUUUUGUGAAAGUUUGGAUUCAAGGAAGCAAGAUUGCCUUGAGUUGUGCUUUGGUUAAAGAGUGGAUUAAGAGCAACUGUGAUUUCCUGUAAUCAAGUGUAAUUUUUUCCAUAUUCUCUUGUAAUUGUUCUUUAGUUUGAAUUCUUGUAAACUGUGUAUUUGUAAGGUCAGAUGGUUGUUCAGACUGUGUGUAAAGUCAAAGAGGGUGUGUGUUCUUGAGUGGUCAAGAUCACCUCUUUGAGGUUGUGAUGUGUUGUAAUCUGUUGUUGGUUACCUGGUGAAUUACCAGUGGUUUUCUGGGGACUAGAUGUAGCUCUGGUAAAGAGUGAACCAGUAUAAUUAUUUGUGUGAUAUUCUCUCUCUCACUCAUUUAAAAUCUGUUUGACUUGUGAUUUCAUCUCUCCUGCCACAAAUAAUCGGUUAAAUUGUAUUUUCAACCAAUUGCUUUUAUGAUAGCAGUUUCAACAAAUUUUUUUUCUUGGAUGAUCUUAUUCUUUAAUCUGUAAAUCAACAUCAAUCUUCAUUCUUAACCAGUAUUUGUGAAAAUUUUACUUAAACAAUUCACCUCCCCCUCUUGUUAAGGCCACUAAUUCUUACAAGUUGAUCAUAGGAAGCAAACCAAACUAAACAUAUUGGGUUUCUAUUUUUGCUUUUUUGCUUUUGUAUUUAAAGUUAAAAAGAGUUUUCAUUUAUUUGUUUAAUCUCUAAAAUAUCCAUAAUAUAUUUUAUGUAUUUCGUAAACAUUAGGGGUAAUUGACCAAGUGAUAACUGACUAAUGCCAUUGCCAAGGAAAGAGGAAUGGUUUACAUUUUUUUUUGGUUCUCUUCCCAAACCAUAACCUCUCACCGACUCACACCUCCCUCUAUUACAUUCUCAACAUCAUCAAAACCUACCCCAAACUACACUAAAUUUCCCAUCACUUUACCCUAUUUCUUCACUUCAAUUCAAUUUAUCAUAACUCUGUUACUGAGAGUAUUAUCAUCAUUCUAAUUUUCACAUUGUUCCUCUUAAAACUACAAAUGUUUUGUUCCUCCUCUUUCCUACUUUACAUGCAACAACUACACUCUUUGGUUUUUAAGUAUGUUUGAGACUUUCCACUAUAGUAACUUCAGUUAUUAGUUUAUCAGAGACUUUUGUUCAAGUCAUGUAUAAAUAUUGUGUCGGAACUUGGGUCCUGCAGUGAGGAAGGAAAAAGCCACGGGUUGUGUGAUUUCCACGAAAGCAGUGAGGAGAUGAGAGGAGCAGGGGCUCGGCGCCAACCUCUAGCUCCAGUGGGAUCAAGUGUUGGUCCAAUGCCUGCGGAUGGUCUACGAGCUCAAGGAUGCUUAGAUGGUACAAUAUCAGAUUUUGUUCACAAAGGGGGCUGGGAAAAAGAUGGGUGAUGAACAUAUAUUUAUUCACACACAAUAACCUUAAUUAUAGAUUAUUGGACUAUAAUAAUAAAUAAAUCCAUUUUUUAAUUAAUAUUCUUAUAAUUGGGUUUAUUUGGGCCUUAACUAUUAUUUUUGUUAAUUUUGUGUUUUUAAAGUAAAUUAUCCGGAGGAAGCAUCUACCUUUGUUGCAAAAGUACAAGUUGCUUCUUGAACCAAAACAGGAAACAAAUUAUGAGGAGAAGAAAGAGAAAAUAAAAUCUACAAUAUCUCAGAAACAGAAUUGGAAGCAAAUCUUCUGCAAAAUACAAGAAUUCUGCAAAGUUGGAAACUUGGAAACUGUUAACAAAAUAUAAACUAGAAUAUUUUCCCAAGAUCCUUGGAGUAGAAAAAUCUAUAAAAGGACACAAGCAUCAAGGAGAAAAGGGGGAGCUUCAUAGGGUUUUCUUAGUUUAUUUUCUUCUUUGUAAUUAUUUUGGUUUGCCUCCGCAUGGAAGGCUAAACCUUUUUGGUUGAUUAUUUUGUAAUUCCCCAUUGAGUUCUGAGGUUUUGUUCAAUAAAAGUUUCGAUUUUUAAUUCUCUAUAGCAGUUGUUUUAAUAGUCUGAUCUCCUGGAAAACUAGUUUUUGUGAGAGGUUGUACUUGAACGCAUGAUUGAGAGUCUUCCUUAUCUUAAACUUUGGUUUCUUAGUUAGUUCGCAUUGUUCUAAUUAAUUUCUUGGGCGCAUGAUUCAAGAGAGAGGAGAUAAGCAUUCUCAUGGAGUAUAUGCAUGGAACAAAGUAGGUAUUGAUUAAUCUAGUAGACGCAUAUUUUGCCAGUGAGUUUCAGUUGAAUUAGAUUGGCGCAUGUUCAAUCUGGUUUAACUCUGUUGGAGGAUUGAGAAAAGAUUAAUCUUUAAAGAACCUAUGAAGAAUUCAAUGGUGAAAGAACUUGGGGAUCAACCGCUUUUUUGUUGUUGUUUCAAAUCUCUUUUAUAUUUCCUGCAUAACUAUCUCAAUCCCUUUUUUAUUAUUAUUGUUAUUGUUAACUUUUAUUGCUUGCAGAUAUUCUAAACAUUGAUCUACUGAUUUUACUAUUGGAUUCGUUGGGAGACGACUUGGGGUCAUCUGCCACAAUUAUACUAUCAUUUAUCUAGUGUUAGACAAGUCUACGCCAGAAUCAUAUUAAUGUGAUAGCAAAACGACAGGCUAUCAAUGGGUCUCUUAGGGAUAGUUCUACAAUGAUGAAGUUCGCGCACAUUAACGGAGAAGAGGCAGUGGCUGUGGGAAGCAUCUCUCGUACUCUUCCACACCAAUGCAAAGUGAAAGGUUUGUGGGAGUUGGGAGAAAUAAGUUUCCAACCAAGGAUGAAAGCAAAUUCAAGUGUGGGUUCAGUGUUAGGUGGGAACUCUUUUCUAUCCAGGUUAAACAACAGUCCAGUAUCCAUCUCUGAUGGGAGGAUUACCAAUUGUAAUAUCUGAUUCUGGAAAACAGGAGCUAAUGAGGACCCGAUCAGUUUGUGGGAGCUUGGCAAACAAAUAGGCCUCACAUGUCACGGGAAUGGGAAAGAGGUAGUCAAAGAGUUCUAAUGUUUGGAAAAGAUUACGAGGUCAUGAGGAUUUAUGAGGAGGGCACCAAGAAUGGUUUCUUAUUAUAAUUGUAAACCUGCACAUAAAAGGCUUAGGAGGGGGCACCAAAGCUAGAUAUCUUAGACAAAUUAUAGUUUGUGAGGGUGCUGAAUUUGUAUGUAUUCAAGAGACAAAAACAAACAUGUUCUCGGAUGCCAGAUGUUACUCUUUGUGGGGGGAUAAUAAGGUUGGGUGGAUCAAUAACAUUGGAGAUAAUGGAGUUGGUAGUGUGCUAUCAAUGUGGCAUAAAUAUGCCUUCUGUAAUGAAAGGCAUAUUAUGGGAAAUGGGUAUAUAGCAAUCUCCGACCAACAUCUGUUAUCAAUGAAUAGAUGUGUUAUGGUUAAUGUCUACACUUCGUGUAACUUGGGUGAAAAUAGGGAUUUAUGAGAGGAUUUGACUAACACCAAAAUGGCACACCAAGGCAUGGCGUGGUGCCUAUGCGGUGACUUUAAUGCAGUCAAGAAUGUUAACGAAAGGAAAGGUGUUAGUGAAAGGGUAGCUUUAUCAAAUGAAAUAAUUGGUUUCAAUGGGUUCAUAGACAAAAAUAUUUUGUUGGAUUUGCCUAUUAUUGGCAAGAAGUUCACAUGGUUCAAAUCAAAUGGAUCAGCUAAGAGCAGGUUGGAUAGAGUGCUUGUAAACGAUGAGUGGCUACAUAAUUGGUUGGGGUGUAAACAGUGUGUCCAACAGUGGGUAGUGUCUCAUCAUUAUGCUUUAGUGGUGAAGUCUAUGGUAAAAGACUGAAGCCCUAAACUGUUCAAAACUAUUGAUGCAUGGCACAUAGAGAAGGGGAUUCAAGGAGCUAGUGAAAGAGAAAUGGAUGUUGUACUCUACACAAGGGAAUGACUUGAUCAAACUCAGAGUUAAGUUGAAGAUGCUGAAGAACGACCUAAAACUCUGGAACAGGGAUGUGUUUGGUAAUCUUGACUUAAAAAAGAGCAGAAUCCUGAAUAGAAUAGAAAAACUUGAUUGCCAAGAUGCAGAUGGCGAACUGGAGGGAAGUGCUAGGAUGGAAAGAAUGGAACUCAUUAGCCAGAUGAGGGUGACAAAUAAAAAGAUAGAAUCUCUCACUAGUCAAAAGGCGAGAGUAAAUUGGCUAAAGCAUGGGGAGUCACGUUCAAGAUACUAUCACUCAAUUCUAAGGUGGAGAAGACUUAGGAAUGACAUCAAAGGAGUUGAGUUUGGAGGUCAGUAGUGCGAGGAGCCUGAAGUUAUUAAAAAAGAAGCGAAAAAACUAUUCCAAGACAGAUUUGUGGCUACUAAAGACGUUGGGGUUAGAAUGAUGUGAUUCCACUAGCCAUAUAGAGAAUGAUUCUUGACAUUCUUAGGAAUCACCUUGAGCUGGACAUUAUAGAGGCACUUUUUCUUAGAGUUGGAUCAUUGUUCUAAGACAAGAACUCACCAAAAACUAGUACCAAAUCCCAAACUCAUUUGGAUGAACCAAAUAUUGUCAAAUUGAAUCAACAAAGAGAUUAAAACUGGAAUUGACCGAACAGAAUUGAACAAUUGAUCAAAUGAACCGAACCAAAACAGAAAUUAAAAACAAAAACAGAACAUAGUGCUGGAAAAUAGAAAAACCGAAACUAAACAACUCAAGAACACAAGGCAACAUGAACAAUUGAAGAAGAAGAAAGGAAGGAGAAGAGAAUGCUCAUGAAGAUUGAAGGAGGAUGGAUGAUCUCGCCACUAGAAGUGUGGAAUGCUCCUAGAUGAGAGUGAAGCCGCCACUUGAGGACUCCAUUGAUCCAUCAAGAUAAGACUAGAGAAGAAGGCUCCAAAAGCUCUCCAAAGGUCACUCAAAAUUUGAGUAGAGUUUUCUUAGAUUAAUUCCAAUCUGAAUUUUACAAAGGAAGCACCUCUAUUUAUAGCCUAAGGUGCUGAAAAAAUAGGUGGGAAAUUUCAAAUAAACUCAUUUGAAAUUCCCACCAAAAACAAGUCACAUGGGAGGUGUGACCUUUUUCUACUAUGACACCUCCCAAAAACUACACCUACACCUAUCUACUAAUACACCCCCCUCCUAAAGCUCCUAACUAAAGCCUAAAAGAUGCUAAAACAAAAGAGGUUUCUAAUGUUUCCCUCUAAGCACCUUCAACUAAAGAAAUUACAAAAAGAGAAAAUAAAUGUCCUCUAGCUCCCAAAGCUUUGAACAUGCUUCUUGUAAUCCUUUGAGGUGGACUUUGACCUCCAUGGGCGUCCUCCAUUUGUGUCUCCACCUCUUCUUGAUCUUGUGGAUUGGCCUCCAUGUCCUCUUGAGCUUGAUCUCCAUCAUAGAAUAAGUGCGGUUGAGUUUAAAACCCUCUCUAUGGAAGAAAAUCUUAGCCUUAUUGUUGAAUUCACUGAGGAAGAAGUGCGGGAAGCGGUGUGGCAAUGUGAUAGCUCAAAGAGUCUUGGUCCAGAUGGAUAAACUUUAAAUUCAUCAAGAAAAGUUUGGAUGUUAUGAAAAAUGCCAUUGUAGCAACGGUGGCACAAUUCCAUGAUUCACGUAGCAUACCAAAAGGAUGUAAUGCCUUGUUUAUAGCCUUGGUCCCUAAAGUUAGUGACUCUUCGAAGCUUGAUCGGUAUAGACCAAUCUCCUUAGUGGGUUCUCUAUAUAAAAUCAUAUUGAAGGUGUUGUCUUAUAGAAUCAAGUCUGUUCUACCAUCAGUGAUAAAUGAGAGUCAGUCGGCCUUCCUGAUGGAUAGAGGGAUGUUGGAUAACGUACUUAUGGCGAAUGAAGUGGUAGAGGAGCUCAGGAGGAAUGGGAGAAGUGGACUAUGUCAAAAGGUGGACUAUGAAAAGGCGUACGACUUGGUCAGGUGGGAUUUUCUUUAUCAAAUGAUGCAGAGGUUGGGGUUUCACUAUAAGUGGAUUUCAUGGAUCAGAGGGUGAUUGGUUUCUACUUCGGUCUCGGUGUUGGUUAAUGGAAGAUCUACUGAAGAAUUUAAACUGACGAGAGGGUUGAGGCAAGGUGAUCCUCUAGCGCCAUUCUUGUUUAUCAUAGUAGUUGAAGGCCUUGCUGAGUUAGCCAGACAAGCUAUAAAGGCAAAUGUGCUAUCAGGCUUGAAGAUUGGUAGGAAUGUGAUAGAGGUGUGCAUGCUUCAAUUUGUUAAUGAUACAUUUUUUCUAUGUGAAGACUCCUAUAGAAAUGUAAUCACUAUGAAGGCUAUUUUGAGGGGCUAUGAACUCGCAUCAAGCCUGAAGGUUAAUUUCCAUAAGUCGAAGGUUGUAGGCAUAAAUGUUGAAAGGAACGUCCUGGAUCUCUACGCUAAGAUCUUGAAUUGUACGCAGAUGUUGAUUCCUUUCAAGUAUUUAGGGCUUGAAGUGGGUGGUAACCCUAGGAGGAAAAGGUUCUAGGAGCCAAUCCUGAGCAAACUUAAAGCAAGACUCAGUGCGUGGAAAGGGAGAUUCCUGUCAUUGGCAGGAAGAAUUUGUUUAAUAAAAUCUAUCCUUUCAGUUUUUCCUCUCUUCUAUCUAUCAUUCUAUAAAAAGUUGGAAUUUGUAUGUAAAAGUAUCACCAGCAUCCAAAGGAUGUUCUUGUGGGGGUGGGGGAAGGAAGAAAGAACAAUAUCAUGGGUAAUAUGGGAGGAUGUGUGUAAACCUAAAGAGGAAUGCGGGUUGGGUGUUAAAGACAUUAGAAAGUUUAACCAAGCUCUUCUGGCUAAAUGUAGGUGUCGUUUACUAACUGAAGAGAAAGGGAAAUGGAGAGAUUUGUUGGUGUUUAAAUAUGGCUCGACUGCUGAUAAUAGUAGUACGCCAGUGAAGCUUCAAUCAUGAUGGUGGAGGGACCUGUCUAAAGUCUGUCGCGAGGGAGGAGGUGAUGGAUGGUUUCAGGAAAUUACAUGUUGGAAAUUAGGAGUUGGCGAUAAGGUUAGAUUUUCGGAGGAUAUGUGGGUUGGGAAUUUGAACCUUAAAAAAAUAUUCCCUAGGUUGCAUUUGUUAGAAUUAAUGACCUUAACAAGAGGGGAUGAAUUGUUUAUGGAAAGUUUUUCCCCUAAACCCUAAACCCUAAUGAAGAUUAAUGAUGAUUUACAUAUCAAAGAAUCAAAUCAACCAAGAAAACAAAUUGAUUAAAAACUGUUAUCAGAAAAAUAAUCGGUUGAAUAUACGAUUUAAUCGAUUGUUUAUGGCAGCAGAGAUAAAAUCACAAGUCAAACAAUUUUUAAAUGAGUGAGAGAGAGAGAAGAUCACAGAGACAAUUACAUUGCUUCACUCCUUACAAGAGUUACAUCCAGCCCCUAGAAAACCAUUGGGUAUUCCACUAGGUAAUCAACAACAAAUUACAACACACCACAACCUCAAAGAGGUGAUCUUGACCACUCAAGAACACACUCCCUCUUUGACUUCUUACACACAGUCAGAACAACCCUUUGACUUUACAUAUACACAAAUUACAAGUAUUAAAACUGAAAAACAAUUACAAGAGAAUAUGGAACAAAUUACACUUGAUUACAGGAAAUCAUAGUUGCUUCUAAUCCACUUUUUAACCAAAGCACAACCUAAGGCAAUCUUGCUUUCUUGAAUCCAAACUUUCACAAAGUGUAUUUUGAAUCACUUUUCUCUCUACUCAAAUAGGGAGGGUAAUCCCAACUUUAUAUCUCUUCAAACUAGUCGUUAUAAGCAGUUAAACAUGAGCCAAAACAGUUUGAAAACAACUGAAAACAGAUGUAACAGAUUUAUGAAAACUUGUUAAGAAAUUCAAAAAUCAACCGGUUGAAAUAUCGAUUUAACCGGUUGAAAUAUCGAUUUAACCGGUUGAAAUAUCGAUUUAACCGGUUGAAAUAUCGAUUUAACCGGUUGAAAUAUCGAUUUAACCGGUUGAAAUAUCGAUUUAACCGGUUGAAAUAUCGAUUUAACCGGUUGAAAUAUCGAUUUAACCGGUUGAAUUGGUUUGACAGUUUAAGUCAACCAAAGUCAAAGCAGUUCAAAAAACCCUUCACACAGACUGAGGGAAAAACAACCAAUUAAAACGAGAAAUCAACAGGUUGUUUUUCACUUAGCUUUCAAAAGCACUUUUCUUUUUAAAACCAGAUUGAUUCAGUUAUGAAUUUGAUUAAGAGUGGAUCUAGAAAAUUCUAAACUACCCAGAAGUUAUCCUGAAAAAUUCAUCACAACUCAAUGCAGAAGUUAUUAUAUUCUUUGCAAUCCAAUCAAACUUAGCUUUCCUACUAUUUGUCUCGGUCCAUUCAGACCAAGGCUUAUCAACAAACACAUCAUCUUCUUUUACUUUUGGAAUAAAAGGUUCAUUCUUUAUAGCAUCCCAAAUUCCUUUAUCUGUAAAUUCAAUAAAAAAAAUCAUUCUAACUUUCCAGAAUUGAUAGUUCACACCACAGAAUAAAGGUGGUCUAUUGAUAGAAGCUCCCUCCCAAAAAGGUAACUUGUCAGCCAUUAAAACAGGUUUGAAAAACAGAACUUGAAAAAAUUUCAAGAACCUAACUCUUGAUGCCAAUUGUUAGAAUUAAUGACCUUAACAAGAAGGGGGUGAAUUGUUUAAGGAAAGUUUUUCGCAAAUAUUGGCUAAGAAUGAAGAUUAAUGAUGAUUUACAUAUCAAAGAAUCAGAUCAGCCAAGAAAACAAAUUGAUUAAAAAUUAUUAUCAGAAAAACAAUAGGUUGAAAAUAGGAUUUAAUCGAUUGUUUAUGGCAGCAGAGAUAAAAUCACAAGUCAAACAAUUUUUAAGUGAGUGAGAAAGAGAGAAGAUCACACAAACAAUUAUACUGGUUCACUCCUUACCAGAGCUACAUUCAGUCCUCACAAAACCACUGGGUAUUCCACUAGGUAAUCAACAACAGAUUACAACACACCACAACCUCAAAUAGGUGAUCUUGACCACUCAAGAGCACACUCCCUCUUUGACUUCUUACACACACAUUCAAAACAACCCCCUGACUUUACAAAUACACAGAUUACAAGUAUUAAAACUGAAAAACAAUUACAAGAGAAUAUGGAACAGAUUACACCUGAUUACAGGAAAUCACAAUUGCUACUAAUCCACUUUUUAACCAAAGCACAGCCCAAGGCAAUCUUGCUUUCUUGAAUCCAAACUUUCACAAAAUGUAUUUUGAAUCACUUUUCUCUCUACUCAAAUAGGGAGGGUAAUCCCAACUUCAUACCUCUUCAAACUAGUCGUUAUAAGCAACUAAACAUGAGCCAAAAUAGUUUGAAAACAACAGAAAACAUAUAUAACAGAUUUAUGAAAAUCUGUUAAGAAAUUCAAAAAUCAACUGGUUGAAAUGUCGAUUUAAUCGGUUGAAUUGGUUUGACAGUUUAAGUCAACCAAAGUCAAAUCAGUUCAAAAAACCCUUCACACAAGCUGAGGGAAAAACAAUCGAUUAAAAUGAGAAAUCAACAGGUUAUUUUUCACUUAGCUUUGAAAAACACUUUUCUUUUUAAAACCAAAUUGAUUCAAUUGUGAAUUUGAUUAAGAGUGGAUCUAGCAAAUUCUAAACUACCUAUAACUAAACCGUAAACUCAGCAACAAAGUCUUCAAGUUGUCUUCAUGGAUUUGGAGGAAUCAAAGCUUCAUUUUCAACAGCAUUCUUUAUCCUUGAACCAAGGAGAAAAGGUAGGUGAGGCUGGCGUGUGGGUAGGAUCAGAAUGGCGAUGGAGUUUAAGGUGGAGACGUGCUAGGUUUGUGUGGGAAACUAUUAUGGAGGAAGACCUUUUAAGGCUCAUAUCUCAAACCAAUCGGUAUAAGGAUGUGAAGGACUACCAGGUGUGGAGGAAUGAAGAAUCAAGAGUGUUCUCAGUGAAAUCGGCGUACGAUCACUUAGCUAACCCCGUAACUGAUCCUUGUAAUGACCUCUUCUAGUGUUUUUGGAAGAUAAAAGUGCUACCCAACGUGUUGUUUACGACAUGGAGGGUCUUGUUGGAUAGAAUCUCAACAACAAUGGUAUUAAGUAGGAGAGGAGUGUCAGUGCCUACUCCUUUGUGUGCUAUGUGUCAGGACAAGGAGGAGUCAAGUCAACAUCUGUUCAUAGAAUGCAUGAUUGCACAGAAGGUUUGGGCCACAUGUUCCAGAUGGAUUGGUAUUCUAUCAGUGCAACACAAUGAAGUGAAGUGCCAUUUUGUGAAUUUUCAUCUGGUACAGGUGAAUAACAAUCAAAACUUGGUGUGGAAAGGUAUUUGGGCAGCUAUUGUGAGGUGUAUUUGGGAUCAGGGAAACAACCUUAUUUUCAAGCAAGGAACAGUUGAUGCAAAAUAGAUUUUCCAGAUUGCGCAACUUAAGUCUUAAUUUUGGAUGAAGUAUAGGACUCCCUUCUUUCAAUCACUCCUUCUCGGACUAGGUCCUGAAUCCCCUUCCAUGUAUUAGAAGUUAUAGGUAAGGGGAAGGAAUACAGGAAGGGCAACACAAAGUAGACCAACCCUAUCAAUGUUGAUGCAGUUCUAAGGUGUUGCAGGAAUUAAUAGUAGCAGCAGAGGUGUUGAACCCCUCCCCAGGGAUCCCCCAGUUUCCAUAUCAUUAUGAGGCUGGUGUAGAAGUAGGAUGUGGACUUUAUGUAGCUCUGCUACUGGUGCGGGUCCAGAAGCAUAGUUCUCAGGGUCAGGGUAAGCUAUGCAGGUUGUUCUGGCUGCAUAAUUGACGAAAAGUUUGUGUUAGUGAUCUCUUGGUCUAUCAGAUGUUGGGAGAAAGCCUAAGCAGGCCAAUCUAUGAGAAGCAAACUUCAGUUUUGAGUGCAACCAUGAAUCUGAAUAAUUUAGGUAGUAAAAUGCUACUCUUUAGAUGCUAACUGCGGUACUCUGACGAAUCUUUUAUCCAUAUAGUGCAGGUUGCACAAUGAUGGAAAUAGAAUUUUAUUUUCAUCUAGAAGGAUAUUUUUAAGGUGCGAAACAGAACAACUAUGUAGCUCUUGAGGUAGAAAUGUCAAAGGUCUAUAGGUUCUGCUUUGUGGACCCGUACGAGAAGAAAAUCAAAAGCCUGGAUGAGGUAUAGCAGGAGACAUUAGCUUUAUGUGCAGGAAAUAGCUAUGUCUAUGAGUAGAAUGGCUUGAGAAGAUUUUGUUGCAGCCAUUAUAUAAUCAUGCAGUUUGGCUCUUGGAGGAAGAAUGGUGGGAAUAAGGUAGAAUGAAUGGUGCAGGAAAAUAGGCGGGAUGAUGCAGUUAAGACUGCAAAAGUGCCUCUUUGUUCUUGUAAAGGUUGGCCAGAGUUCAUUCCAUUACUUGCAUUUAUGUUGGUGUGUGGUAGAGAAUUUUAUGAAAGUGCUUCUCUGUUGUAUAAGGUGCUGCUACCAACAUUGAGAUUUUUGCAGUUUCAUGCUUAAUGCAUAAGUUUGAAGGUCUAGGACCUUAUUGCUUGGAGGAUGCUUAGUCCUUAAUUUGUAGUUUUUUUUGGCGAUGGCAACUUAUUUAUGGAAAAGUUGCUAGGAUGUUCAUUCUUGUAUAAAAAAUGUAUAAAUACUGUGUUCGGUAACCUAGUGUACCCAGUGUAGCUUUUGGAUUUUUUCCUAUGUUAUCAAAAUGUUACUUUCUUUUUGUUUUGCCUGUUAUUGCAUACAGGUUGAUUGAGUUAGGGUUACUGUAUUUUGGUUUGUUAUUUUUGUAGUGCAGUUGCGAAUAAAUGUUUUAGAAUUAAAUAAAAACAUUAUUUUUUAGAGAUAGGAAAAAAAGAACUUGUUGUUAGGUAAGUUUAUUUUGAAGUAUGUUUUAAAAAUAUGUAAAAUUAUAUAAUUGAUAGAAAAUUCAAUUCACUGCAUUUUUUUUCUCUUUUUUAUUCAUAGAGAGGAGAGAUAAAAUAAUAUUAGUUCAACACAGACUCAGUUUUACCUCAUUCGUUAAGUUUAUAAAAAAUGUAAUUUUAACUGCCCAAUUCUUAAAUUAUAAAUACUUGAUUGGAAGUGUUGAUUUUAUAUAAAAUAAAUAAGAAAUAUUAAAUAAAAUAUUUUUUUUAAAUAUAUGUAAGAUAAAUUUGUUAUUAAAUUUGUAUAAAAAAAUCGUACUGACUGGUUAUCUAAAUUAAAUUUAAAUAGAAAUAACCUAUUAUGAUCCCAUUUUUAAUUUCAAAUAUAAUUAAAUUGAAAAUAAUUUUUGGAAAGAAACUACUCAAACUACUUUUUUUAAAAAAUCAAAUGAAAAACAGUUUUUAAACUGUUAUCGAAUAUGACUUCAAUAACUAAAUAUGGAAGGUCCAAUUUUUAUUUUCUCUCUUAAUAUUCAACUCAUAUUUUUGUUCACAUUGUCUAUAGUUUAUUUAUUAUAAAUAAUGUCAAGAUUUUGGGUUCAACAUGGAGAAGAGAUGUCAAGUGAGGAUAAUGUUGGUUAUGCAUCUAGUAGCCAUGGAAGAACGAAACCUAUUGAUAAUGUUGGUUCAGUGACCAAUAUGGUGUAUGAUGCAUACAUGCAAGAAACAGACAUAACAAGUCAUUAUGGUGACAUGGACAACAAUGAUGAAUAUGUAGAAGAGUCACCUAAUGUAGAAGCCCAGAGGUUUUAUGAUAUGUUAGCAACUGCAAAUGAACCUAUUUAUGAUGGUGCCACUUAGUCAAAAUUAUCAAUAGCCAUCAAACUGCUAGCGGCUAGAACGAAUUGGCAUACACCUGAAAAAUGUUUAGACUAUUUCAUAAAAUUGUUGGUUUAUGUAGCUCCCAAAGAUAAUUUCAUACCAAAAAGCUACUAUGACGCCAAAAAGGUUGUGUCAAGUCUUGGGUUGAAAGCCCAAAAAAUUGAUUGUUGUGAGGCUGGGUGCAUGUUGUAUUACAAGGAUGACAACUAUUUAAUGGAAUGCAAAUUUUGUCAUCUUUCUCAGUAUUUUCCUUCUAAGGGUGACAAUGGAAGAUAUAAAAAAUUUCAAUGAAGAGAAUGUUUUAUUUGCCAAUCAUUCCAAGAUUACAAAGACUGUAUGCAUCAAUGGAAUCUGCUAAGCAAAUGAGAUGGCAUACUCUCAUACCUGGCCCAAGUAACCCAACUAAUAAAAUAGAUGUUUACAUGCAACCUCUUAUUGAUGAUCUUAACCAAUUGUGGAAUGAAGGUGUAAUGACAUAUGCCUGAACCUCGUAACGUUGUCCCCUUCUACUAUAUAGACUCCAUUUUAUAGUAAAACCACCAUAACUAAAACCACCAUGUGCAUGCCUCUGCACAUCUUUUAUACCCACUCUCAUUCAUCAUGUGUCCUUGUCCCAACACCACUCUAUAUAUAAACCUUCUCUUAUUCACCUUUUUUAUUAAACUUUAAUUAACUUUACAUGUCUUCAACUCAAAAUUUACCAUCAAAAUUAGUUUAAUAUAAUUGUUAAGGUAACUUAACAUAAUCUCAGCAUCCAACUUCCUUCUCCAGCUCCAAAACCAAACCAGCUCCCACACUAUACCAUUAACCACACCUGACCUUCUUAUCAAUUUGUGCUAAAAACAGAUCCUCCUCUAUUUUUAUAAUAUACAUGCUGCCUAACAUCACAACAGCAAUGCUCCUACACCUAUUAUCAAAUAAUCUACCAAUAACCUAUGAAUCAACAUUUUGUACCAAAUAAAGAACUGAAGCACUUAAAACAAAAUCAUCAGCAGUUUAAUCCGAAAAUCAAACAGAAAUUAAUCAUUAAAAAAACAAAAUAGCAACAAAUACUUGAAAAAAACACUAAUCCAAGGGUUCAAAUGUGAGAGUCACUACGCUACACAUCAGUUAAAAAUUAAAUAAAAAUGAAGCGAAAGUGAAAACGAAAAUCAAAUCAAAAACAAAAAACCUUACCUAAUUGUAGGAACAACUUGAAGCUACGCUAGAGAUUGACAAAUUCUGAUCCAACGAUGCGGAUGAACGAAUUGAACAGAGAGUGAAAACCAAUUGAACGAGAAACUGAAAACGAGUAAGCCGAAGCGGAGACCGAGAGAGUGAGAAAGAGCAACAAGAUUGAAAAUGAAGGAGAAGAAGGAAAUUGUAGGUGGAAGAAGAAAACUCACUCUGAGAAGGAAGAAAAACAGGAACUGACUGCGUGAGAUGGAAGAAGAAUGGGUAUUGUGCGUGACUAUGUGAGAUGGAAGAAGAAUGGGGACUAUGCGUGAAAGAAGAAGAAAACUGUCUAAGGGAAGAAGAAAGUGUGUUAAAAUUAU
This 22632-nucleotide long non-coding RNA is filed under the name Phaseolus vulgaris (common bean). RNAcentral's name for it is "long non-coding RNA (PVUL_LNC000815)". Lineage: Eukaryota; Viridiplantae; Streptophyta; Magnoliopsida; Fabales; Fabaceae. The record is from RNAcentral.